GAAGUCGGUACAAGGUUUCCGUAGGUGAACCUGCGGAAGGAUCAUUGUCGA
RNAcentral lists this ribosomal RNA (51 nucleotides) under Scutellaria indica. RNAcentral describes it as "partial 18S ribosomal RNA". It matches the Rfam family "Eukaryotic small subunit ribosomal RNA", at positions 1785 to 1831 of the family's 1831-position model. The record is from RNAcentral. Lineage: Eukaryota; Viridiplantae; Streptophyta; Magnoliopsida; Lamiales; Lamiaceae.